GUGGUCGUUUUGGCAACACAUGUGCUAAAACUGGAACGAUGCAGAGAAGAUUUGCCCGGUCCCUGCUCAAAUUCGUGAAGUGUCCCAUAUUUUU
Molecule: small nuclear RNA, 94 nt
Filed under: Zalophus californianus (California sea lion)
Lineage: Eukaryota; Metazoa; Chordata; Mammalia; Carnivora; Otariidae
Also listed under: 1 other name
Source: RNAcentral